RNAcentral lists this long non-coding RNA (520 nucleotides) under Homo sapiens (human). Its description in RNAcentral is "non-protein coding lnc-MTFR1-3:1". Lineage: Eukaryota; Metazoa; Chordata; Mammalia; Primates; Hominidae. The record is from RNAcentral.
GCCACCACCAGGAGCCCCAAACUAUCAGCCAUGGUCAACCCCACCAUGUUCUUCCACAUUGCCGUCAAUGGCGAGCCCUUGGGCCAUGCCUCCUUGGAGCUGUUUGCAGACAUGUUUUCAAAGUCAGCCAAAAACCUUCAUGCUCUGAGCACUAGAGAGAAAGAAUGUGGUUAUAAGGUUUCCUGCUUUCACAAAAUUAUUCCAGGAUGUAUGUGUCAGGGUGGUGACUUCACAUGCCAUAAUGGCACUGAUGGCAAGUCCGUCUACAGGGAAAAAUUUGAUGAUGACAACUUCAUCCUGAAGCAUACAGGUCCUGGCAUUUUGCCAUGGCAAUUGCUGGACCCAACACAAACCAUUCCCAGUUUUUCAUCUGCACUGCCAAGACUGAGUGGUUGGAUGGCAAGCAUGUGGUCUUUGGCAAGGUGAAAGAAAGCAUGAGCAUUGUAGAGGCCAUGGAGCACUUUGGGUCCAGGAAUGGCAAGACCAACAAGAAGAUCACCAUUGCUGACUAUGAACAACU